Molecule: ribosomal RNA, 253 nt
Filed under: uncultured bacterium
Lineage: Bacteria
Description: partial 16S ribosomal RNA
Rfam family: Bacterial small subunit ribosomal RNA
Source: RNAcentral
UACGUAGGGGGCUAGCGUUGUCCGGAAUCAUUGGGCGUAAAGCGCGUGUAGGCGGUCCGGUAAGUCCGCUGUGAAAGUCGAGGGCUCAACCCUCGAAUGCCGGUGGAUACUGUCGGGCUUGAGUACGGGAGAGGCGAGUGGAAUUCCUGGUGUAGCGGUGAAAUGCGCAGAUAUCAGGAGGAACACCGGUGGCGAAGGCGGGUCUCUGGGCCGUAACUGACGCUGAGGAGCGAAAGCAUGGGGAGCGAACAGG